Molecule: ribosomal RNA, 253 nt
Filed under: uncultured bacterium
Lineage: Bacteria
Description: partial 16S ribosomal RNA
Rfam family: Bacterial small subunit ribosomal RNA
Source: RNAcentral
UACGUAGGGUGCGAGCGUUAAUCGGAAUUACUGGGCGUAAAGCGUGCGCAGGCGGUUUUGUAAGCCAGAUGUGAAAUCCCCGGGCUUAACCUGGGAAUGGCAUUUGGGACUGCAAGGCUGGAGUGCGGCAGAGGAGACUGGAAUUCCUGGUGUAUCAGUGAAAUGCGUAGAUAUCAGGAGGAAUACCGAUGGCGAAGGCAGGUCUCUGGGCUGACACUGACGCUCAUGCACGAAAGCGUGGGGAGCAAACAGG